Molecule: transfer RNA, 73 nt
Filed under: Nannocystaceae bacterium
Lineage: Bacteria; Pseudomonadati; Myxococcota; Nannocystales; Nannocystaceae
Description: tRNA-Phe
Rfam family: tRNA
About the family: Transfer RNA (tRNA) molecules are approximately 80 nucleotides in length. Their secondary structure includes four short double-helical elements and three loops (D, anti-codon, and T loops).
Source: RNAcentral
GCCCAAGUAGCUCAGUUGGUAGAGCAGUGGACUGAAAAUCCGCGUGUCCGUGGUUCGAAUCCGCGCUUGGGCA